AACGCAUAUUGCGCUCUUUGGUAUUCCGAAGAGCAUGCUUGUUUGAGUAUCAGUAAACACCUCAACCAGAUUCUCUUCUUGAAGAGGACCUGGAUGGAUUUGAGCAAACCCAACGCCCUCUUUCUCUUGAGUAGGGGCGGCGGCGGGUUGCUUGAAAUGCAGGUGCAGCUGUCGCAAGAACAGACUGAGCUAAAAGCAUAUCUAUUUAGUCCGUUUCGGCGGAUUAUCUCUAUUUGCUGCAGCUACUCUAAGGUCAUCUUGUCGAGCUGACUGAUGCAGGACUUGUCAGAACCUUUGCGGUUCUUUCAAAACUCGAUCUCAAAUCAAGUAAGACUACCCGCUGAACUUAA
This 350-nucleotide unclassified non-coding RNA is filed under the name uncultured Mortierella. Its description in RNAcentral is "sequence contains ITS2". Lineage: Eukaryota; Fungi; Mortierellomycota; Mortierellomycetes; Mortierellales; Mortierellaceae. The record is from RNAcentral.